AGCAGCCGCGGUAAUUCCAGCUCCAAUAGCGUAUAUUAAAGUUGUUACAGUUAAAAAGCUCGUAGUUGAAUUUCGGGGUCAGUAGGUUGGUCAUGCCUCCGGUAUGUACUGGUCUCACUGAUUCCUCCUUCCUGAUGAGCCGUAAUGCCAUUAAUUUGGUGUUGCGGGGAAUCUGGACUGUUACUUUGAAAAAAUUAGAGUGUUUAAAGCAAGCUAACGCUUGAAUACAUUAGCAUGGAAUAAUGGAAUAGGACGUUCGAUCCUAUUUUGUUGGUUUCUAGGAUUGACGUAAUGAUUAAUAGGGAUAGUUGGGGGCAUUAGUAUUCAAUUGUCAGGGGUGAAAUUCUUGGAUUUAUUGAAGACUAACUACUGCGAAAGCAUUUGCCAAGGAUGUUUUCAUUAAUCAAGAACGAAAGUUAGGGGAUCGAAGACGAUCAGAUACCGUCGUAGUCUUAACCAUAAACUAUGCCGACUAGGGAUCGGAUGAUGUUAGUUUUUAAUGACUCAUUCGGCGCCUUAA
This 520-nucleotide ribosomal RNA is filed under the name uncultured Glomus. RNAcentral's name for it is "SSU rRNA". It matches the Rfam family "Eukaryotic small subunit ribosomal RNA", at positions 569 to 1091 of the family's 1831-position model. Lineage: Eukaryota; Fungi; Glomeromycota; Glomeromycetes; Glomerales; Glomeraceae. The record is from RNAcentral.